This 76-nucleotide transfer RNA is filed under the name Pseudomonadota bacterium. RNAcentral describes it as "tRNA-Ala". It matches the Rfam family "tRNA". Rfam says of the family: Transfer RNA (tRNA) molecules are approximately 80 nucleotides in length. Their secondary structure includes four short double-helical elements and three loops (D, anti-codon, and T loops). Lineage: Bacteria; Pseudomonadati; Pseudomonadota. The record is from RNAcentral. RNAcentral also lists the same sequence under 2 other names.
GGGGCUGUAGCUCAGCUGGGAGAGCGAUACGUUCGCAACGUAUAGGUCGUCGGUUCGAUCCCGAUCAGCUCCACCA